AUUGAACGCUGGCGGCAGGCCUAACACAUGCAAGUCGAACGGUAACAGGAAGAAGCUUGCUUCUUUGCUGACGAGUGGCGGACGGGUGAGUAAUGUCUGGGAAACUGCCUGAUGGAGGGGGAUAACUACUGGAAACGGUAGCUAAUACCGCAUAACGUCGCAAGACCAAAAAGGGGGACCUUCGGGCCUCUUGCCAUCGGAUGUGCCCAGAUGGGAUUAGCUAGUAGGUGGGGUAACGGCUCACCUAGGCGGCGAUCCGUAGCUGGUCUGAGAGGAUGACCGGCCACACUGGAACUGGGACACGGUCCAGACUCCUACGGGAGGCAGCAGUGGGGAAUAUUGCACAAUGGGCGCAAGCCUGAUGCAGCCAUGCCGCGUGUAUGAAGAAGGCCUUCGGGUUGUAAAGUACUUUCAGCGGGGAGGAAGGGAGUAAAGUUAAUACCUUGGCUCAUUGACGUUACCCGCAGAAGAAGCACCGGCUAACUCCGUG
RNAcentral lists this ribosomal RNA (490 nucleotides) under uncultured bacterium. RNAcentral's name for it is "partial 16S ribosomal RNA". It matches the Rfam family "Bacterial small subunit ribosomal RNA", at positions 30 to 507 of the family's 1533-position model. The record is from RNAcentral.